GCGGCCCAUAGCUCAACUGGCUAGAGCACCUGCCCCGGCAAGGCAGAAGGUGCGGGUUCAAAUCCCGCUGUGCCGCG
RNAcentral lists this transfer RNA (77 nucleotides) under Listeria welshimeri. RNAcentral's name for it is "tRNA-Ala". It matches the Rfam family "tRNA". Rfam says of the family: Transfer RNA (tRNA) molecules are approximately 80 nucleotides in length. Their secondary structure includes four short double-helical elements and three loops (D, anti-codon, and T loops). Lineage: Bacteria; Bacillati; Bacillota; Bacilli; Caryophanales; Listeriaceae. The record is from RNAcentral.